Molecule: ribosomal RNA, 550 nt
Filed under: Serratia sp. BD3
Lineage: Bacteria; Pseudomonadati; Pseudomonadota; Gammaproteobacteria; Enterobacterales; Yersiniaceae
Description: bacterial SSU rRNA
Rfam family: Bacterial small subunit ribosomal RNA
Source: RNAcentral
CAGAUCGCAAGCCCCCCCUGGACGAGAUGACCCUCAGGUGCGAAAGCGUGGGGAGCACCCAUGAUUAAAUACCCUGGUGUCCCGCUGUAACGAUGUCCAUUUUGGAGGUUGUGCCCUUGAGGCGAGGCUUCCGGAGCUAACGCGUUAUUCGACCGCCUGGGGAGUACGGCCUCAAGGUUAAAACUCAAAUGAAUUGACGGGGGCCCGCACAAGCGGUGGAGCAUGUGGUUUAAUUCGAUGCAACGCUAAGAACCUUACCUACUCUUGACAUCCAGAGAACUUAGCAGACAUGCUUUGGUGCCUUCGGGAACUCUGAGACAGGUGCUGCUGGCUGUCGUCAGCUCGUGUUGUGAAAUGUUGGGUUAGUCCCGCAACUAGCGCAUCCUUAUCCUUUUUGCCAGCGGUUCGGCCGGGAACUCAAAGGAACUGCCAUUAUAACUGGAAGAAGCGGGGAUGACGUCAAGUCAUCUGGCCUUAUAUAGGUUCUCACGUACUUCAUGUCGUAACAUAAGAAACCACCUUUCAGACAAGUAGAUUCAUAAGAACGUCG